AAAUGAAUUGACGGGGACCCGCACAACCAGUGGAGCGUGUGGUUUAAUUCGAGACAAAGCGAAAAACCUCACCAAGGCUUGACAUAUAUUUGACAACCUUAGAAAUAAGGCCUUCCUUCGGGACAGAUAUACAGGUGCUGCAUGGCUGUCGUCAGCUCGUGCCGUGAGGUGUUCCCUUAAGUGGGGAAACGAGUGCAACCCUUGUCUAAUGUUAAAUAUUCAUUAGAGACUGCCUCUAUUUUUUAGAGGAGGAAGGAAAGGCGGACGUCAAGUCAGCAUGGCCCUUAUGCCUUGGGCUACACACACCCUACAAUGGCGAAAAACAAAGAGUUGCAAGUUCGUAAGGACAAGCUAAUCUCAGAAAUUUCGUCUCAGUUCGGAUAGAGGUCUGCAACUCGACCUCUUGAAGUCGGAAUUGGUAGUAAUCGCGGAUCAGCGGGCCGCGGUGAAUACGUUAUCGGGUCUUGUACACACCGCCCGU
Molecule: ribosomal RNA, 481 nt
Filed under: uncultured bacterium
Lineage: Bacteria
Description: bacterial SSU rRNA
Rfam family: Bacterial small subunit ribosomal RNA
Source: RNAcentral